AACGAACGCUGGCGGCGUGCCUAACACAUGCAAGUCGAACGAGAAACUUCCCGCUUGCGGGAGGGAGUAAAGUGGCGCACGGGUGAGUAACGCGUGGGUAACCUGCCCUUGAAUCUGGGAUAACUCUGCGAAAGCGGUGCUAAUACCGGAUACGGUUUCGAAGACUUUGGUUUUCGGUAUCAAAGGUGACCUCUUCCUGAAAGUUGCCGUUUAAGGAUGGGCCCGCGUACCAUUAGCUUGUUGGUAGGGUAAUGGCCUACCAAGGCUACGAUGGUUAGCUGGUCUGAGAGGAUGAUCAUCCACACUGGAACUGAAACACGGUCCAGACUCCUACGGGAGGCAG
RNAcentral lists this ribosomal RNA (343 nucleotides) under uncultured Pseudomonadota bacterium. RNAcentral's name for it is "bacterial SSU rRNA". It matches the Rfam family "Bacterial small subunit ribosomal RNA", at positions 29 to 351 of the family's 1533-position model. Lineage: Bacteria; Pseudomonadati; Pseudomonadota. The record is from RNAcentral.